RNAcentral lists this transfer-messenger RNA (354 nucleotides) under Alphaproteobacteria bacterium. It matches the Rfam family "Alphaproteobacteria transfer-messenger RNA". From Rfam's summary of the family: Bacterial tmRNA, also known as 10Sa RNA or SsrA, is named for its dual tRNA and mRNA-like properties. The record is from RNAcentral. Lineage: Bacteria; Pseudomonadati; Pseudomonadota; Alphaproteobacteria.
GGUCUUGGACCGGCCGGCCGGAAUGACUAUAUUGGGUGGUGUCGGGAAACCGACUAUGGCGAUAAACGACGCGUGGAAUAAGCGUUGCGGACCCGGGGGCAGUACCCGGCGCCUCCACCAUUCCUGCCGCAUGCGGCAGAUCCGCGGGGGCGAACCAGGAUCGACGUGCGUGGUAAAGGCGUGGCCUUCGCCCGGCAUGGUACCGCCGUUACCGGGCCACAUGAUAGUUGCGAACGACAACUAUGCGGAGGCGCGCCUCGCCGCGUAAGCGGUCGGGUAGUCUCAAAUGAAGUCCGGCGGGUUCGCACCCGCCGGCGGGGUCUGGGGCGCACCUGGCAACAGAAGCGCCCCGCU